RNAcentral lists this long non-coding RNA (607 nucleotides) under Crocodylus porosus (Australian saltwater crocodile). RNAcentral's name for it is "lncRNA (ENSCPRG00005012102.1)". The record is from RNAcentral. Lineage: Eukaryota; Metazoa; Chordata; Crocodylia; Crocodylidae.
AGUGUUAGUGAUGGGGUAGUGCCGACCUCACCAUGAAGGACCUCUCUACCUCUGCUUUUGUGUGUCCCAUGAACUAGAUUGUGACCUGACUAUGGAAGCAUUGCAUGUGACAGAGGCCUGAGUCUUGGCAUCCCAUCACGAGAGUUGUGACUUGGGAACUGAGUUUCUCCUGGCUGAGAAGUGGGGAAAUGAAGGCUAUGUUGGGGAUGAAGGGGUUCUGCUGAUGCCAUAAACUCCAGGAACACAGAUGAAGUUGUGCAGGAACACCAGCAGAGCUUGGAAAGUGAAUUAAUAGCAAGGUGUUUGUUUACAGUCUUCUGUAAAAUGCUGCUGGGAAUAUCUGGUUCGUUUUUUUAAACCUUCAGUGAUGAUCCAAACAUUGAGAGGCAUCUCAUGGGCCAGCUAUCAAGAGAUACCCUGUUAUGCUGUGGUGGGGCGAAUGAAGGCAUUUUCAACCAUAAACAAGUGAGCGUACAGCUUCGUGGAGAGCUGGAAGAGGCAGUCCAGUUCCUUUUUUCAUAUAUGAAUGAAUGUACUGACACAGAGAAUAGCUGCAUGCAGCUCUGGUUUUGGUUUUUACGUCAUGGAUGUUUGGCCUCAAGACAGG